Triticum aestivum (bread wheat) is the source of this 6419-nucleotide long non-coding RNA. RefSeq lists it as uncharacterized. Lineage: Eukaryota; Viridiplantae; Streptophyta; Magnoliopsida; Poales; Poaceae. The transcript is spliced from 3 exons. The record is from RefSeq and is a predicted model, not a curated record.
CCCACGUAGCGUCAGUCAAACACCGGCCCUCUUUCUCCCAAUCCCCGCAGCCGCCGCGCCCGGCACACCUCCCUCCUCCACUCCCCCCCGCACCCCACCCUUCCCCGUCGAGCUUGUUCCUCUAGCCACCCACUCGUCUCCUCCUCCUCCUCCUCUCUCUCUCUCUUCUAGCUUCCUCAUCCUUCCGGAUCUCUGCGUCGGCCGGACCGCGAGAGGAGCGGCGGUGGUGGAGACGCUCCGGUGGUGGCAUCGAGUUGCAAACCCCAGGAACCAGGUCUGGGGGUUCGGUUCCAAGGCGCGAACGGCUUCUCCAUCUGUGACGUCGAGGGCAAGUGCACACCCCAGUCCCCUCCUCUGCGCGAACCAUACGAGAGAGAGAGGAAGAUGAGAGGGAGGGAGAGAGAAUGACCGGCGUCGGCCUGCGCCGGCGAGGACGGGCGCGACUUGGAGGUUGGCUGCUGGUCGAUCUGCUCUUGGAUCGGGAGCUUCGACGAAGCUAGGGUUCGGGCGCGUUGCAACGGAGGCUGCACUCCACCUCUUCCUCGUGGUGCGGUGGACGGCAGCUCUUGCAGUCGUGCGGCCGACAGCGGCCUCAGCGGGUGGUCGACGACACUUGCAGCUGGUGCUCUACCCAUGGAUUCCGGCACAACCCGAAAUACUCAGGACAAAUGAGGCCUCGGCUAAUGGUGGAGAAGACAGACUACAGGGACGAGCCGCUGGAGCACGUGUUCAUGGGAUGUUCGUGCGCAAGAUGCAGAAGUUCGCCGGAAGGAAGAAGAGUUGGCCGGCGAGGAUGAGGAGAAGGCGGGAUGCGAGGUGCUUGCACGCGCAGCAGCAGGAGGCCGUCCGUGAGGUGCUCCUCUGGAUGCUCCCUUCCGGCGUUGGGCCUAGGUGUUCAACGCCACCCUCACCAUCCCCUUCUUCCAUUGGCUCAUCGGCCCGUCAGAGGUCAGAGAUCUAAUACUCUUAGUUAUGUGUGUGUGUGUGUCCGGGCACCUGUUGUGUUUUUUGCUGGCUUGUUGGUGCGUGCAUGAUUGUUGUGACUGGGCGCUGGCUGUUCGGUGCUGGGCUGCUGAUGGCAUGCUACCUGCUUUGAAAAGAAGGAAUGAAAGGAAGCAUUUGUUCAUAGAACAAAUAUAUUCAUUGUUUGUUAAGAUAAAUAUCCCUAUCCUCUGUUUGUUUCUUGAUUAUUCUCUGUGAACUUUUGUUCUAUAUGCAGACAAGUUUCCUCCAUGUUAUGUCAACAUACCAUGGUGAUGUAUGUGAAAGAUUGAAAGUGCGGUACUACAUAAAGACUCGCUGCAAUUAUUGUUGCAUAAUCACAACUUUCAUAACAUUAACUUCCAUUGUCUUUUAUCUCGGGUAAAAUCUAUUUUUCUACCUGAUUGAUGUGGUUAGUUUGAUAUAUAGUAGAAUAUCAACAUUCUCCUUUAUGAUGGCUGAUGGGCAGUGUGUUUCGUCCAAAUGAUAUGUUUCCUGUAUUGUUAUAGAUGUCUAUUUGGCUUAUGAUCGUACUGUUGAGCACAUCUUACUCUUGUGCUGAAGAUAAAUGGUACUAAUCAAUCUGCCAAAGCUUUGUGAUGUGAAAGUGCAUUUGGUAGGAAGGGUUCUGCAGAUAACCCCUUCAGAUUCUGUCCCUUCAAGAUUUUUUUUGUAUCAAGCCAUAAAUUUAAACAGGAAUCCUUCAGUGGCUAUUUUGUUUAUCCACACACUUUCUAAUGUCUGGUCCUCUUAACUUAGGAUAAGCUUUUUACUGUCUUUGUUUUUUGAUUAUCAUCAACAAUAAUGGUUCUGUUGUCCCUUAGUCUGUCAAUGCUGAUGCUAUUUGAAUGCUGAGAAGCGAACUCGGAAAUCAGCCCGCUAACAAGAGUCGGAAUUCGAAUCUGAGGCAAGUUUUACAUUCCCCAAUUUGUCUACUGAACCCAUGGUCUCUCUUUCUUCUGCAUUAUUUCUCAUUCAUUAUCUAAGAUAUAAUUUCGACUUCACUGCAUCGUGUUGUCUGGUUUAUAAUGCCGGUUGAGCUCAUUUCUAAUUGUUCAUAACUACUUAAUUUUUUGUUGUGAUUUUGCAAGAUAUUUAAAUUAUUGUAUUUCGAAAUUGUUAUUCUGAUUCUCGAUGCUCUGUUCAUGGCUUUUUUUUCUUAUUUUAUCCUUCUUUGCUUUUCUCCUUUCCUGCAAGAAGAUGUCGAGUCAUGUAAUAUGUUUAAAGAAGAGAGAAUCUGCAUUUUAUGAAUCCUUUCUUCUUUUUUCAUUGUUACUUCAAGUUAGUGAAUUCAUUUAAGUUGUAUUGAUGAGCUUCAUGUGCAUGGUUUCUUCAUCUACACAUCUUAUUCAGUCACGAGGCCAGUAAGAUAUUUUGCCUUUUAGAAAAAGGGAGAUGCCAUUUAGACCUUACUCUUCCAACUUGAUCUUUAACUUGCUACUACUGUUUCUAAGCAUUUUCCCAAGAAUUUUUUAUUUGCUUCAGAGAAUGAGCUCACCUUAUUCAUUGGAUGUGCCAAGUAAAAAAAAAUAGAAACUGAACAAUUAGUUCCACUCUUUAAUUUUGUACAACGGUCCAAAUUAUCCAAUAAAUCAUUUGUUAGCAGGGUCUAAUUAUAGAAGUCGAAUCAGUUGUUCCAAAUUACAAUGUGUGACUUAUUCCAUUUUUUUUAUCCUUUUGUCCUUUUAAUCAAGAACAAUGUUUAGAGCUUACAUGGUUGUCCAAAUUUAGUUCUGUAAAAGAGGAAUAUUGAUUUCAUGCAAUGAUCAGUGCAGAUUAGGAUAGUUAUAGAGUUCUUCCUCAGUUUUCAUUGAGCAAAGAUUGAAUAUGUAUGAUUUUUAUUAAUACCAAGUAAAUCUUGGUCUGCAUUCUGUUAGUUUUCCUACUGAGUUUUUUUGGCUAUUUUCGUUUAAAUUGGUAGCUGAUGUGAAAAAGUGUGUGUUGACAUGCAUGUAACCAAAUCAUGUAUUAAUGUGAGGUACUACAUAUAUUUUCCUAUCUCUUUCCAGAAGCACAACCCUCUUGAUCCAACUAGGAACAUCAAAACCAAAUGGGAAAUCAUUGAGUGGACUUCAGAUGGCCAUGCUUACGACAAGGAGGCAGGGUGGGGGGGGGGGGUCGGCCGUGGAGGGAGGCUCGCCGGCCGGAGCAGCAGGAACAAGGAGGCGGGGUCGGCCGUGGAAGGGAGGCUAGCCGGCCAGAGCAGCAGCAGCAAGGAGGCGGGGUCGGUCGUGGCAACUGGAAGAGCUGCUGGUCAGCCUGACACACUGCCUCAGCCAUGUCUCCUCUGAUGCAGCCUGGACGCUCAAGAGAGGUAGUUGUGCCGUCACUGGUGGCGAGUUCAGCGGCCGCCCCCUCCUCUUCUCUUCGAACCCAGCCCUCUCUUGAGUGUGUCGUGCCCUCAACUACGGUAAAGCACCAGGUCCACGUGAGCUCCUCCUUCAACCCGCGUAUGUGAUUUCUUCCUUUUCCAUGAAUGCACACAUCUAAAGCGUUUUUUGGGUUCCCUCAUCUAAAUUUCUUCUGAAGUGUGCAGAUUGUUUUUCAUUAUCAGGGAGGACAAUAUUCUUUUCAAGGACUCAUUAGUCCCAGAAUAUUUAGCUGGUAAGAUACAUAUUUUAUGAUUCAUCCAUCUCUCCAAUUCUGACCUUACAUAUCAACCUGUCUCCAUGUACCCUUCUACUCCCUCCGUUCGGAAUUACUUGUCGUAGAAAUGGAUGUAUCUAGAUGUAUUUUAGUUCUAGAUACAUCCAUUUUUGAGACAAGUAAUUCGGAACAGAGGGAGUAUAUCUGGUGCUGCUACUUUUUUUUCUUACAUGGAUAUAUGUAUGAGAUUUCUUUGUUUAGGUAUAUUUGUGCCUGAAAGAAGUUUACAUCUAUUUUCUUGUUAGAUGAGCCUGAAUGAAAAUACUUAUGAGAUCGCAUGAAUGAGAUGUUGACGCCCUGUAUGCUCCAAAAUUGUAUCAUUCUUCCCACACAAUGGUUAGAAUCCCAGUUGUUGAAUCACAAUAGACAAGACCAUAUUUCACAUUUUGUAUAGUCCAACCAAUAAUACGUAUGGAGCCUGGUGAUGGUUAUUGAUAUAUUGUGAUAGUAGUUUCCUGCAUUAAUUAGUUAAUGAGCCACCCUUUCGUUUUCAACUCAAAGUGUUGCAACAGUUAAAUAGAUGUGUUCGUGCCAUUUAGCCCCAAAAUUCAGUUCAGUUUGGCUGUACAUCUAUUGCCGGCCCCUUUUCUUAGUACUGAUUGACCUUUAUGUGUUAAUAUUUUUAUUGACUUCAUUUUUUCCUUUAGUCCUUCCUCUUGGUGUAUAAUCCUGAUUGUGUGAGUUCCUUUCCUGGUAGGGUAUUUAUGAUUCAGACCAUUCCAUAACAAAAUGCAUAUAUGGCCUCAUGCAGUGGCGGAGACAGGCCCCAGGCAGCCCGGGCCGCUGCCUACAUGCAAUUCCUUUGUAGGUGUAGCAAACACUGUAGCUACAGUGCUACAGUGUUCCGAAGCCUGCCUGGGUCCUGCCAUAUUUCUGCCGCCGCUACUGGCCUCAUGCAUGUUUAUUGCUUGCCUGUGUAUACGUUGUGUUCUUAUCGGUUGUUUUCUGUGUGUUUCGUAGGAUGUGCGAUCUCUUCUGCCGCUACAUCUCCGUUCGACUCGCCAAAGUUUGUUGUUCUCCUUUUUACAUGUGUGUGUGUGUUUUACUUUCACUAUCUGCUAUAUCAUGCUAUCUGCCUUCAUGAUCGUUUAAGUAUUAUUAUGGUGUCUGCCAUGCUGAUCGUUUAAAUAUUUCGGAUACGGCAGGGCAUUGUGUGUUGUUCGUUCUCUUGCUACUUACAGUUCGUGUAUGCGUGUGAGCAGGAUCUAUGCACGUGUUUCCGUUGUUAUACUUGUUUUGGAGACUGAGGUAGCUCAGUGUGCUUUGCCGUCACUUUCGUGUCUGUGUGAGGUUGUAAACGACGGUUCUGUUCUUGCUGGUGUAGAACUUGAGCUCCCAGGGGACGGUUCUGCUCCAGUGCCACAAAGAGAUUUUUUUAGCUCGGCUUGGUGUGGUUUUAUGAAUAGCUAUGAGCAGGCUGCUCUACAGGUCUUGCGUAUUUUGCAAGGUUUAUAUGGACUUUUCGUUCAUGACAAUAACUAUGAAUGUAUGAUGGCCUAUAGGAGAUCUUUCUGUUCAAGAACAUUGCGGUUUCUUUGAUUCCUACUAUGCUAUUUACUCAGUCUGCAGGCCAGCAUAUUAUUUAGAUUCUUUAUAACUACCUUACUUCAAAGCUCAGUGCUGGUUUCCUUCAAGCUACAACCCCAAGGUAUGUCUUCUGAAACAGACAACUAUAAUAUGCUUAUAACUACUUAAUUGCACUCAUGUUUGUGUUUCCUUUUGUACCAAAUCGUCGUGCCCUGUCGGCUAUGCUAUAUGCCCACAUAUUUACACAUGUCUCCCUCUUCACUGGUUUUCUUUCACGCACCAGGCGAGCUCUGGUGGUCAAGCUGAUGCUUCUUCGCCUCCUGUUGAAGAAAAGGAUGAUAAGGAUGUCCAGGCUCGAGUGACCAGGAACAAGUGGUGCUGCUUUUUAUGCUGUCCAUCUAUAUAUGCAUCCCUUCAGUUUGUACAGACAAAACAAAUAUUCAUUUCUGACUAGAACAAAACUUGCAGUUAAGAAACUCUGCUGCUGGAAAGGGAGCUGGGCUACUAAACAGAAUAUAGUUUGAGCCUGCCAGUUCUUAUUAAUCCUAUGGCCUGUAUUUUUGCAGCAAUCGUCUUUUAUGUCUGGUUCCCAAAGUUAUUAGUUAGCCUGCCUAUUUCUCGCUGUUUGAUAACCUAUAUUAUAACUAUAGAGAAUAUAGUUUGAGCCUGCCAGUUCUUCUGCCUUGGAUAUGAAAUAAUGAGGCAGUUUUAAUAUUGUCGUAGAUUCACCUGAGUUUAUUUUAAACUACAGGAUGCAUCACUGAUGGAGAAAUACCUUACAGAAUGAUGCUGAGCCCCGUCUAGAAUGGAACCUUUUUGGAGCUGCUUAUGCUUGGUGCGGAGCGGGAAGCCUAUGAUAGCAACAGUAUUGGACUCCAUAGAACUGGAACUCUAUACCUUUCUUAUGUAGCUCUUCCUUUUGUUGUCUUCCCUAGAAGGGGCUGACGUAGUUUUUCUGAAUUACAUGUCUCCGCUUUGUUCUACGGCAGAUGCUUCUACUCUGGAAUGGUAGCAACAAUACUGGACUCCACUGAGAACUGGAACUCUAUACCUUUCUUGUGUAGCUCUUCCUUUGGUAGUCUUUGCUGGAAGGUGCAGAUGUAGUUUUCCAUUUGUUCUACGACAGAUGCUUCUACACUGGAAUGAACCUUUUUGGAGAUUCAACAUGUUUCUGACUUGUUGUACAAUAUCUCGAUGGUAGUACUUGAUUUAUUGUUUUAGCAAGCGUAAUGGCUGAUGCUUAAAAUAAACAACAGUUUUUUUUU